RNAcentral lists this long non-coding RNA (845 nucleotides) under Strongylocentrotus purpuratus (purple sea urchin). RNAcentral's name for it is "uncharacterized LOC115922211". The record is from RNAcentral. Lineage: Eukaryota; Metazoa; Echinodermata; Echinoidea; Camarodonta; Strongylocentrotidae.
UACAAUUAUUAGUGUGUUUGCUGCCAUCUAGUGGUGGAAUGCACACUGUAUUUCCAAUUUUGAAUUUCUUCACUCCAGCCAUUACUUUGCCGUUUCGCCAAAUUUGUCUUCCUUUAAAACCCAGAAUAUAGGGGAUAAGGGUUAGAUUUACACCAGGAAAGAAGAAUUGUACGAGACUAAGAGUAUUCUAGAGCAAGAAUUGGACAACAUGAAGAACUCGAAGUAGAUCUAGAUUUCAAUUUACCAGACAGUCACACUGGUCUACAUACUACAGUACAGUCCCACACAGCCACUCAUGUGUGGGAAAAUAUCGGUCUGCAGAAAACGACCAACUUUGCUUUGCUGCUGGAGCUAUACUUUAAGGUCAACAUUUUCUCCAGGAGGGUAUCUUCGGCUGCGGGAAAGUCAUCAACAUGGACUGUUCCAGUGAACAUGCAGUCUUGAUUUGUAAGACUAAACUGUCCAACAAACUUCACGGAAAUUAUGCAAGACAUGGGUGAGAGUUUGAGAAUUCAUCUGUAUGGGAUCCCUAUAGAGGAGAGCUUUUCAAAAUUAUACCAGUUAUGCUGACCAGCAAACAUUCAGCAAGUACAUCCAGUACAAUCGACCCUGUCACCUUUGUUCGGUCGGAAGGAAUCUGAGAAAGUAAUCUUCAAUACACAGCUUUUUUUCGAGCAAAACUUUUAAAUUUGCCGCACAGAUGUGACGUAUACGCCUCUGUCUGUGUUGUGAGGACCCUACGUCACAAAAAAUGUCGCGCAAUGCAUUGUGAGAGGAACCGGCUCGAUCAUUCACUUGUUUUUUGCUCAUUAAAGCCUUACUGCACUCCUUUUAGCUACUUGCUC